ACCUGGCUGGCUCUGUCGGUGGAGCAUGGGACUCUUGAUCUCAGGGUCAUGAGUUCAAGCCCCAUGUUGGGCA
RNAcentral lists this transfer RNA (73 nucleotides) under Ailuropoda melanoleuca (giant panda). It matches the Rfam family "tRNA". Rfam says of the family: Transfer RNA (tRNA) molecules are approximately 80 nucleotides in length. Their secondary structure includes four short double-helical elements and three loops (D, anti-codon, and T loops). The record is from Rfam by way of RNAcentral. Lineage: Eukaryota; Metazoa; Chordata; Mammalia; Carnivora; Ursidae.